Molecule: transfer RNA, 90 nt
Filed under: Bryobacterales bacterium
Lineage: Bacteria; Pseudomonadati; Acidobacteriota; Terriglobia; Bryobacterales
Description: tRNA-Ser
Rfam family: tRNA
About the family: Transfer RNA (tRNA) molecules are approximately 80 nucleotides in length. Their secondary structure includes four short double-helical elements and three loops (D, anti-codon, and T loops).
Source: RNAcentral
GGAGGAAUGGCCGAGUGGUUUAUGGCAGCGGUCUUGAAAACCGCAGGCGUCGAAAGGCGUCCGGGGGUUCGAAUCCCUCUUCCUCCGCCA